This 200-nucleotide unclassified non-coding RNA is filed under the name soil metagenome. RNAcentral describes it as "partial contains internal transcribed spacer 2 and large subunit ribosomal RNA". The record is from RNAcentral.
GCGUCAUUGCUCACCUCAAGCCUGGCUUGGUCUUGGGCGUGCGUCCUGCGGGACGGGUCCGAAAAACAGUGGCGGUGCAGUUGCGACCGGCAGCGUAGUAAUAAUCUCUCGUUCGACGCGUCGCGCUGUGCCUGCCAGCCAACCGUGAUGAUUUCUCAUCGGUUGACCUCGGAUCAGGUAGGGAUACCCGCUGAACUUAA